This is a non-coding RNA of Electrophorus electricus (electric eel), 1419 nucleotides long. The record is from RefSeq and is a predicted model, not a curated record. NCBI's taxonomy places the organism in Eukaryota, Metazoa, Chordata, Actinopteri, Gymnotiformes, Gymnotidae.
AAAGCAGACUAGUGUGCACUCUCAAGGAGGGUUGUCAGUUUGACUACCAUAAAACUCCAAAAGAUGGGGCCGUUUCAGCCCGACCACUUGGGCUGCUUCCAGGAAAAAAGCACGCAUGUGUCUCUCUGGAGAGAAGUUGCACUACACAAAAUCAGCCUGUCGGAUGACCUGGAAAUCAGCCAUCUCUAUAUUAGAAAAAAACAAAGAAGACAUUCAGUUUAGUUCCACUACCCAUACAGCUAUGAAGGUUCACAGAUAGCGUUAAACUUCAUAUUUCCUAAUGUGACAGACGAGGGCUAAGCAGGACACCCACACUCACGCAGACUUGAGGGAGGAGGGGCCAUACCGGGACAGAGCCCCCCCUCAAGGGCGUGACUCCUGGCGCGUCAGCCUACCGGGCUGCGGCCCCGAGACCAACGCCAAAAGGUUUAACAGCUGGUGAGACACUUGACGGUUUGUGUCUGCCAGUUCCAUUAAAAGUGAGUAGAAAGUUUCUGCAUAACUGGGGUUCCAUUUCUGCAUAACUAGGGUGGUUCUGAAGUUACUGAGAUUGUUCAUUAUAUGAAAAUAUCAGUGUACUUAAACAUGUAAAUGAACAAUACAUAUAUGAAAUUUAAAUGCUUUUGUCAUAUGAGCAUUGUUGUGCACAGACCAAUGGAUCUUGACCUGUACUCAGUGCAAGACAUGUUGGUUAGUCACCUAACUUCAGAAUGCAUAGUCAGUUAACUUCAGAAUGCAGUCUUUUUACAACUGGUCAUAUGUCAUAUUGGAUUCUGUUUAAACACAUGUAAUGCAAGGGAUCCCUAAUGCAUAUGUAUACUCAGGGUAUUUGCUGCUAAUAAAAGGGUAAACACACUAAGAACAUAUUAAUUCAUAACGGAUAAUGCAUAACAUAAUUAUGAAAUUUUGGUCCACAGUCAAGUUCCCCUCUAUGCUGGACUUUAGCCUGAGUAUUAUUGACACUUACCUCUCUAUUUUCACCUGAGCAUCUGUAUUUGAUAGAGACUACAAAGCACUUCUGUAAGUCAUCAAAUGCUGUAAAUGUACACUGAUGUCCACAUUUAUAUUUCUGUAGUUUCAGAUUACCUCACGUCAUCUCAGUGUCAAGAAUUAAAUUUGUGGCUUGGCCUUUUUUUCCAUCUUAAACACUUCAUAAAACUGUCAUGACUUUUUACCAUCUAAAUGUACAUGUGCAGGGAUAAUGCAAAACCUUCAGUAUUCAGCCACCAGAGCAACUGUGGCCAGUCUGAAUGUAAGAUGAAUUAAAUGAAGUAAUUUGACUCAAGCAUUUCUGUGAAGAAUUUUGGCUCUUAUACAAUGAUGACGUAAUGUGGGGAAAUUAUUUGGCUCUUACACAGUGACAUUAGAAAAAAGACAAAUGACAAGUAUAGAAACACUGGCGGUAACUGCUAACUAUCA